GGGCUUGUACUGGUUUCGACGGGGGUUUUGAAGUCUGGGAAGCCAUCCGCGGCCCCGGGACCGCGUCAACAACCUGGAACUUAAAAUUAAACGCAGACGAAAAUUUAGCGUACGCUGCUUAAUUGCGGCUGUCGGUGCCUGAAUCUCCCGCAGUUCGGGUUCCGGCAUCAAAUUUCGCGGGGCACUUUUUCUUCAAAGCUUUGAGAGGAAAAAAGAUCUUAUGAAGCUACUGAUGCCAGAAGCCUGUCAUUAGGCGUCUGACGGAGGGAAUGUCAAAAUAAUGACUGUGAUGGGAGAUGCCUGGAUGGAUAGGCUUUCGGACGCGGGUUCGAUUCCCGCCAGGUCCAU
Molecule: transfer-messenger RNA, 348 nt
Filed under: chicken gut metagenome
Rfam family: transfer-messenger RNA
About the family: Bacterial tmRNA, also known as 10Sa RNA or SsrA, is named for its dual tRNA and mRNA-like properties. Its role is to liberate the mRNA from a stalled ribosome. To accomplish this part of the tmRNA is used as a reading frame that ends in a translation stop signal.
Source: RNAcentral